Pistacia vera is the source of this 750-nucleotide long non-coding RNA. RefSeq lists it as uncharacterized. The transcript is spliced from 3 exons. NCBI's taxonomy places the organism in Eukaryota, Viridiplantae, Streptophyta, Magnoliopsida, Sapindales, Anacardiaceae. The record is from RefSeq and is a predicted model, not a curated record.
UUUAUUCUCAAAAAAUAAAAAGAAUUCAUUUUAAAGGCAUCAAAAUGAAAAAUCAAAUUAUUUUAGAUUAUUUUCGGGACAGCCUUAAAGGUUUGAAAGAAAAUUUUGAUUUUCAAUUUGUCUCAAGCAGCCAGAAAAAGAACCAGAGGGUGACAAAGGAGAAGAAGAAGAAAAGAACAAAGGCAAGACGCCAGAAGAAGACAAGGUUGAUAAGAUCUACCCUAGAGACUUGAAUAUUAUAGGGGGCAAUGACCCAAGACAGUGGAAACCACUAGAUAAAAGGUCAACAGAUCCUGCAGGGCUAAUUAAGGUGAGUUGGCUUCAGGUAAACGGCAGCAAAAGAGUAAAAAUUGGAAAGUCAUAUGAAAUAAAGUUCAACAUUUCUUUCACGGAAAAUUCCUUUGGGUGGAAGGGAAUCCCACUUUUUCUGAUGGCUAAGAUUGGGCAAAAGGGAAAUUCCAAAUAUCAUUUGAUUGAGCCACUGGAGCAGGCUACACCUGGUGCUCAAUUUUAUAUUCCUAAGCCUGAACACAAACAGUUCAUCGUUCAAAUUCCACCUGGUAAAAAAGGCGAGUCAGGUGAAGAGGACCUUUGGUUUGGUUUAUAUGAAUGUUGGAAUUCAAAGUGGAAGGGAGGAUUGCGUAUUCAUUAUGCAACUGUUGAAGAAGUAAGCGUGUCGAAUUAAGCUUUGUUUGUGCUCAGCAAAGUUGUCAAAUGAAUGAAGACUAGAAGACAACAGAUAAAUUGGCA